This 497-nucleotide ribosomal RNA is filed under the name uncultured bacterium. RNAcentral describes it as "partial 16S ribosomal RNA". It matches the Rfam family "Bacterial small subunit ribosomal RNA", at positions 28 to 507 of the family's 1533-position model. The record is from RNAcentral.
GAUGAACGCUGGCGGCGUGCCUAAUACAUGCAAGUCGAGCGAACGGACGAGAAGCUUGCUUCUCUGAUGUUAGCGGCGGAAGGGUGAGUAACACGUGGAUAACCUACCUAUAAGACUGGGAUAACUUCGGGAAACCGGAGCUAAUACCGGAUAAUAUUUUGAACCGCGUGGUUCAAAAGUGAAAGACGGUCUUGCUGUCACUUAUAGAUGGAUCCGCGCUGCAUUAGCUAGUUGGUAAGGUAGCGGCUUACCAAGGCAACGAUGCAUAGCCGACCUGAGAGGGUGAUCGGCCACACUGGAACUGAGACACGGUACAGACUCCUACGGGAGGCAGCAGUAGGGAAUCUUGCGCAAUGGGCGAAAGCCUGACGGAGCAACGCCGCGUGAGUGAUGAAGGUCUUCGGAUCGUAAAACUCUGUUAUUAGGGAAGAACAUAUGUGUAAGUAACUGUGCACAUCUUGACGGUACCUAAUCAGAAAGCAACGGCUAACUACGUG